AUGGAGGUUGGAGUGUAUUGGGUAGAUGAAAGCGGUGAAGAGGAAGUGAUAGAGGUUUGUUCGCACGGAAGGGAAAUUGAGAGCAAGGUGAUGAUUACGGUGGAAGGUCCUGCAUGGAGGACAAUGGAGUGUAUUGCUAUCGCGAGUGUGAGUGUGGAGUGGAAGAGGGAAGAGGUGUUCGGAAGGUUGUGCUAUGGAGGUCCGUCGGGUUUCUUCGGAACAAAGGUGAUAAUGGAAGGAAAUUGGAGAAAGCAAGCGAAAAUUUGA
Non-coding RNA from Vicia faba (fava bean), 267 nucleotides. The record is from the annotation of a GenBank genome assembly. NCBI's taxonomy places the organism in Eukaryota, Viridiplantae, Streptophyta, Magnoliopsida, Fabales, Fabaceae.